This is a long non-coding RNA of Diorhabda sublineata, 568 nucleotides long. RefSeq lists it as uncharacterized. Lineage: Eukaryota; Metazoa; Arthropoda; Insecta; Coleoptera; Chrysomelidae. The record is from RefSeq and is a predicted model, not a curated record. The transcript has 2 exons.
AAGUACCUAAUGUAUUGUUAAAUUGUUAAAAAGUGUUUAAUCUUUGAAGAAAAUUAUUUACAAGUUGACCCAAUUUAUUAUUGAUAAAUUUGUUGGCAUAAAUACAUGUGGAAUGAAAUCAAAUUUUGAAAGACCUCCAAUUGCUAGAAAAAGAGACCAAGAAUAAGCGUCGAUACAACGCUAGAUAUUUUGCUGUCAUUAGAAGACAACCAACAUAAAUUGGCCUACAACAACAUGUUAGUCAGUCAUUUGUAGUAAAGUUUUUAAAGAUAGAAAAACUGCAUUCAUACAAAGAGCACGGAUGGUGGGUUCCAACAAGAUAAUGUACCACCAGAUUAUGGUUUUAAUGUUAGAAGGUUUCUGAAUAACCAGUUUAAAGGAAGGUGGAUUGGAAGUCGCAUAUUGAUGGAGUGGUCACCUGAUCUUCGUAAUUUUUUUAUAAUGCAGAAAAACAAGCUUUACCAAAUGAUAUGAGAAAAAUAUCUUGCCUAUUUAAAAGAUAUUGAAAACCGUCAUCAAUUUCAUAAAUUUGAGGUUUUAUUUUUUUUAUACGAAAUAAAAUAACCCG